CCUACGGGAGGCAGCAGUGGGGAAUAUUGGGCAAUGGGCGCAAGCCUGACCCAGCCACGUCGCGUGAAGGAAGAAGGCUUUCGGGUUGGAAAAUUCUUUUUUUAGGGACGAAAGAAAUGACGGUACCUCAUGAAUAAGCCACGGCUAACUACGUGCCAGCAGCCGCGGUAAUACGUAGGUUGCAAGCGUUAUCCGGAUUUACUGGGUGUAAAGGGCGUGUAGGCGGGACUGCAAGUCAGAUGUGAAAAUUAUGGGCUCAACCCAUAAACUGCAAUUGAAACUGUAGUUCUUGAGUGAAGGAGAGGCAGGCGGAAUUCGGUGUGUAGCGGUGAAAUGCGUAGAUAUAAGGAGGAACACCAGUGGCGAAGGCGGCCUGCUGGACAUUAACUGACGCUGAGGCGCGAAAGCGUGGGGAGCAAACAGGAUUAGAUACCCUAGUAGUC
Molecule: ribosomal RNA, 443 nt
Filed under: uncultured bacterium
Lineage: Bacteria
Description: partial 16S ribosomal RNA
Rfam family: Bacterial small subunit ribosomal RNA
Source: RNAcentral